CCGGGCUGAGAGGGCGGACGGCCACAUUGGGACUGAGACACGGCCCAAACUCCUACGGGAGGCAGCAGUAGGGAAUUUUCGUCAAUGGGGGGAACCCUGAACGAGCAAUGCCGCGUGAGUGAGGGAAGGUCUUCGGAUCGUAAAGCUCUGUUGUAAGAGAAAAACGACAUUCAUAGGGAAUGAUGAGCGAGUGAUGGUAUCUUACCAGAAAGUCACGGCUAACUACGUGCCAGCAGCCGCGGUAAUACGUAGGUGGCGAGCGUUAUCCGGAAUGAUUGGGCGUAAAGGGUGCGUAGGUGGCAGAACAAGUCUGGAGUAAAAGGUAUGGGCUCAACCCGUACUGGCUCUGGAAACUGUUCAGCUAGAGAACAGAAGAGGACGGCGGAACUCCAUGUGUAGCGGUAAAAUGCGUAGAUAUAUGGAAGAACACCGGUGGCGAAGGCGGCCGUCUGGUCUGUUGCUGACACUGAAGCACGAAAGCGUGGGGAGCAAAUAGGAUUAGAUACCCUAGUAGUCCACGCCGUAAACGAUGAGAACUAGGUGUUGGGGGAAUAACUCAGUGCCGCAGUUAACGCAAUAAGUUCUCCGCCUGGGGAGUAUGCACGCAAGUGUGAAACUCA
RNAcentral lists this ribosomal RNA (620 nucleotides) under uncultured bacterium. RNAcentral describes it as "bacterial SSU rRNA". It matches the Rfam family "Bacterial small subunit ribosomal RNA", at positions 287 to 903 of the family's 1533-position model. The record is from RNAcentral.